RNA transcript from Drosophila pseudoobscura, 3459 nucleotides. It is a transcript of the gene named arginine/serine-rich coiled-coil protein 2, with no coding region annotated. The transcript has 4 exons. The record is from RefSeq and is a predicted model, not a curated record. Lineage: Eukaryota; Metazoa; Arthropoda; Insecta; Diptera; Drosophilidae.
UUGAUUCCUAUUGCUGGGACAUUUUCAAGUAUAGGAAAAGUGCACGAGUACGAAAUUCAAAGCAGAUAUGCGAUUACUUUCGAUUUCGGCGGUGGGGUUUGCUUGCCGUGCCAUCUGUUUUUCAUCUACUCCUUCCCACCCACCGACACCUGCGGGGAUCUCCAGCGCCUACAGAUGGCGUCAGAGGGCUGGCAGCCGGAGGCGGCCAGAAUAAGUGACGACGGCGUUGAGAGGGAUCAGUGGAGAGGUGACACGCGUCGAAUCGUGGCCACCAAUAGCCCGGGCUUGAAUCCACACAGCGUCGACUCGGUUCCACUAUCUCACAGCCUCUAGCAGGUGUCAAUCCUUCGAAACAUACACCCGGCUUCAAUAUCUGACACCUUCAACGCAGGUCCAUGCACAGCAUCCCCACGGCUGCAAUCCUCUAGAAAAUCCGCCUGUUCUCCAGGAUGCACAGAUUCCUUCCAGCUUCAACGCUCCACAGUUGCCACCCGGUUUUAAACCUCCACUGUUUCCACUCGACUCCACCAGCACUCCAUAAGCAGUCGUGCCCAGCACCACCAACCUUGCGGAAAGUACCGUGACAACAUUGGCAGCACCUGGCACAGCUGUAUCCGAUAUCCGAUCGGUCACAGCAACAUCAUGUCUACCUUCUAGCAACCAGCAACCAGUAAAGAGCAUCCAGCAUCAUCCAAUGUCUGGUCCCCAUCCGGUGCAGGGCGCCGUCACGCCGACAUGUCCGAUGAACCCGAAUCAUAAUGACGAAGCCUCGGCAAUGGCUCGUCGUGUAACACAUCCCGAUUUGCUGCGGGAGAACAGUAGCCGACCCUUUGUCCUGCAGCGCUGGCAGUCCGGGUCCGGGUCUGGGUCUGGGUCUGGCUCUGGGUCUGGGUCUGCGUCCGGCCUCAACAGUGGCCAGCGCAUUCGUAUAUCGUUCGGUGAAGAGAAUGCCCUUUACUAUUACAACCGCAUCAAGCCCCUGACCCUGGACAGCUUCUUCAACUUUGAAGAGCUCGACUGUAGAGCAGGGGCCGGCGGCAAGGGGAGACCCCAAUCCAAGGCAAAGCCAUCCACAUCGACAUUAAUCAGCGAUAGGCCCGUGCCGCCGUCUGGUACCGCAGAUCCUAAUGGUCAAGAGCCCCAUUUAUCCAGUAAAAGCGGCAAUCAGAGCCGUAUGCAUGGCCAGGUACCACAAACACACGCACACAGUCGCAUUCACGGGCCCCAUACUCUUCCAUCCAGCAGUGUCUCGCUGCCGCUGAUCUUCGGUCUACUGAUAGAUGGCCACACAUGGGGCGGUGGUGGAGCACUCGUGGAGAGGGAGAUCUGCCGAUCAGUCAAGAUAUGGCGGAAUCAAGUCCAGUUCAAUUUGGGAUUGCAGGUGGAACGCGACCAGGAAGAAGACAACGCCGCCCAAUGCGAGUUGAAGCCCGUUGGCUUCGAGACCCAGAAUGCACGGCGCAGGAAUGCCAUGGCAGCGCGUCAGAGCCGAAUAAUGGACCAAAACCAGAGCGUAUAUUUCAUUAUAAAUAUAUCGUUGGGUGGCACAGAGAACGGGCUACAAAACAGAAUAGAGAACGGCCAGGACAACUCUCCAGAGAAUGCCCACGAUAUAGUCUGGCGGGGAAUUGACAUGGCUCGCCCCGCACAAUCCCAGAAUGAAGCCACUUACUACCCGCAUCAGGAACAAAGCGCAGACGACAUAUAUCCCACAUACUGGGAGAGCCAGCAGCAGCCGGAUUGUGCCAAUCGCUGGGACAUUCAUUCGCCUCUGGGGACGCCAAAUGCCAAGGGACAAGUGCCCAUCUAUCAGGUGGAGCGGGAGCGCCAACAUCGCUACCCAAAGCAGAUUUACCAGAAUCCUCCGGACCACUACAAUCCACAGGAUCAAUCGAACCAUCACUGGCAAAGUGAUGGUCCUGGACCGUCCAACAGUAGCGAUCAGUGGCGUUCCAUCCAUCGCCAAAUGCAUUCCCACCAGCAGCCACAUUCUGAGUACGACCAGCAUCAGCCCAUGCCCAUGUCCAUGCAUCCCCUGAUGGUGGAGGAGGAGGAGGAGGAGGAGGAGGUGGCGCAGGUGGCGGGUAUGCAUAUGAGUCCGGAUGAGCGGCAGCAGACAAAGCUGAUGGAGCUCCUCAAGAUGGUCAGGCAGAAGGAGCCACUACUACUGCAGCUUCAGCAGCGCGCCGUCUUCGAGCCGGUAGUCAGUGGCAGCGGCCAGAACUGGAACUGGCUGGAGAACAGCAGACAGAUCGAGAUGAUUAACAGCUUGGAAUACUUUCCGGUGAAGGCCUCGCAGGAGCUGCUGCUCGGGGCGACCUUGUACGCCCUGUACGACGAGCAUUUCUACAAUCUCGCCGAGGGAUGGUGCUACAGGGGCACUCUCGAUCCGCCCGUGCAGAUAACAAUGCCCUACCAUCCAGUGUAUAACACGUAUCACCAUCAGCCGCUUUGGCAGAACUGGCAGUGGCACUGGCACCAGUGGCCGCUGAAGCAGCAGCUGCACUGGCAGCACCACAACGAGUGGCAACAGCAGCGCCAGCAGCAGUGGUAUUGGCAGCACUUUUAUUGGCAGCAGGAGCGACUACAUCAAUGGCGGCAGCAACAGCAGGAGCAAAUCCAGGACCCGCACCAGAAGCAGGUGCAGCAUCAGCAGGGCCAGUGGCGUUGGCAGUGCAGCCCGAGGUCGGGGUCGAGAUGGAACCACCACCACUACCCCCCAUAUACAAAUCACCCAACAUCAGAAGCUAUGACUUUUGAAGACAGGGCCAACUGGAAGCCGCCAACGCAGUACAAGAGCCUAGCGGAGACAAUCGCAAGUAUGGAAGCACCUUUCACUGAACCGACAGAGGAAAUGCUGAAUCUAAGCACACAACAUUUUCCACCGCUGCCAAAACCGCAGAGUCGUGGACAGAAAUGAGGUGAAAGACUAAAGUAAGAACAGAAUGCUAUUACACAGUCAUAAGUAGUGGCGAUUGAGCAGCGGAAGUCUGCGGGAUCUACGCGGGAUAUAAUUUUUAUUUUGUUUUGAACUAGAUGUACAAAGUAUAGUAGUGAUUCCUUAUUUCAUUAAAAAUUUCAAUAAUAUUCAAAUUUCAAAUGUUCCUCCAAAUUGGAAGUGCCAGUGCUGUAAACACACUGCUGCUUGUUUGAUAUCGAUAGCCCAAUGUCCUCUUUCGCUCAGGUUGGCAGGGCUAUGCCUCAAGCGAUUCAGUAAUUUUUUGAUGCCGAUUUUCUGACAAUUAAAGAACGGGAAAUAAUGGAGGCUCUUGUCAACUAUAGCAGCGAAGAUGACCAAGAUGAUGCUGGCUAUCAAAUACGGUUGAAAAAUUCCCCUAGGCACCACCACCGCAACCAACGAAAUCGGCUGCUUUGGCAGUCACCGCUGCCGCCUCUGCCUCUGCCUCUGCAAAAGCCGCUGCAACUGCCUUAAAGCAUCAGCAUAAGGCCAAAAAGAAC